AAUAAACAUUUUUGUUAAUUUUCAGUUGACAGAAGCACAAGAUCAAGGUACAAGCUCUGUGCAACAUGAUGAAAAAAUGGAAGAACCCUUAGACAGUUGACAGAAGCACAAGAUCAAGGUACAAGCUCUGUGCAACAUGAUGAAAAAAUGGAAGAACCCUUAGACAGGUAUGGCUUAACCAAAUGACUUGAGCAACUAUAAAGGAAAUCAGCAGCAUAAUAUGAGACAUAUUGCAGUUAUAUAAGUACUAAAUCUUCAUUAGGCCAGGGGAAAAUUCUAGCUUUGAUAAAUGUACCUGAAAGGAGUAAUUUAGGGGAGCAGAAAUAGUACAGUGAGGAGAGAGCAUGUGCUUUCCACGUGGAGCCCUGUGUUCACACC
This 378-nucleotide long non-coding RNA is filed under the name Cavia porcellus (domestic guinea pig). Its description in RNAcentral is "lncRNA (ENSCPOG00000040042.1)". Lineage: Eukaryota; Metazoa; Chordata; Mammalia; Rodentia; Caviidae. The record is from RNAcentral.